This 918-nucleotide ribosomal RNA is filed under the name uncultured bacterium. RNAcentral describes it as "bacterial SSU rRNA". It matches the Rfam family "Bacterial small subunit ribosomal RNA", at positions 33 to 932 of the family's 1533-position model. The record is from RNAcentral.
ACGCUGGCGGCGUGCCUAAUACAUGCAAGUAGAACGCUGAAGAGAGGAGCUCGCUCUUCUUGGAUGAGUUGCGAACGGGUGAGUAACGCGUAGGUAACCUGCCUUGUAGCGGGGGAUAACUAUUGGAAACGAUAGCUAAUACCGCAUAACAAUGGGUGACACAUGUCAUUUAUUUGAAAGGGGCAAUUGCUCCACUACAAGAUGGACCUGCGUUGUAUUAGCUAGUAGGUGAGGUAACGGCUCACCUAGGCGACGAUACAUAGCCGACCUGAGAGGGUGAUCGGCCACACUGGGACUGAGACACGGCCCAGACUCCUACGGGAGGCAGCAGUAGGGAAUCUUCGGCAAUGGGGGCAACCCUGACCGAGCAACGCCGCGUGAGUGAAGAAGGUUUUCGGAUCGUAAAGCUCUGUUGUAAGUCAAGAACGAGUGUGAGAGUGGAAAGUUCACACUGUGACGGUAGCUUACCAGAAAGGGACGGCUAACUACGUGCCAGCAGCCGCGGUAAUACGUAGGUCCCGAGCGUUGUCCGGAUUUAUUGGGCGUAAAGCGAGCGCAGGCGGUUUGAUAAGUCUGAAGUUAAAGGCUGUGGCUCAACCAUAGUUCGCUUUGGAAACUGUCAAACUUGAGUGCAGAAGGGGAGAGUGGAAUUCCAUGUGUAGCGGUGAAAUGCGUAGAUAUAUGGAGGAACACCGGUGGCGAAAGCGGCUCUCUGGUCUGUAACUGACGCUGAGGCUCGAAAGCGUGGGGAGCGAACAGGAUUAGAUACCCUGGUAGUCCACGCCGUAAACGAUGAGUGCUAGGUGUUGGAUCCUUUCCGGGAUUCAGUGCCGCAGCUAACGCAUUAAGCACUCCGCCUGGGGAGUACGACCGCAAGGUUGAAACUCAAAGGAAUUGACCGGGGGCCCGCACAAGCGG